RNAcentral lists this long non-coding RNA (351 nucleotides) under Nicotiana benthamiana. RNAcentral's name for it is "long non-coding RNA (NBEN_LNC003570)". Lineage: Eukaryota; Viridiplantae; Streptophyta; Magnoliopsida; Solanales; Solanaceae. The record is from RNAcentral.
CCUCUUGGUAUGCAAUUCCAGUGUCUCUGGCAGAGGUUGGGAAAUAUCUGUUUCCACCAACACUCUAGCAAAGGAAAUCCUCUCUUGUUCAGCCGUUAUCUUAUCAGUAUACAUAGGCUUUCCCACUACACUUGCCAGCUUCCCAAGAGCUUCACCGGACCAGUAUCCUAGAGGUAGCCCAGGGAAUGUGACCCAUAAGGGUACUACACUCACAUUUCUUGGUUCAUAUUUAAAGUCCAUACUCCAUUGUUGCAGCACCAGUGGUUUAUUGUGGAAAGUGUAGGGGCCAGCUUGGAGAACUCGAUCUCUUUCUUCAUCAGUAUCAAAUCUAAAGAUAAAAUACCCUUCGUC